RNAcentral lists this ribosomal RNA (254 nucleotides) under uncultured bacterium. Its description in RNAcentral is "partial 16S ribosomal RNA". It matches the Rfam family "Bacterial small subunit ribosomal RNA", at positions 524 to 777 of the family's 1533-position model. The record is from RNAcentral.
UACGUAGGGUGCGAGCGUUAAUCGGAAUUACUGGGCGUAAAGCGUGCGCAGGCGGUUUUGUAAGCCAGAUGUGAAAGCCCCGGGCUCAACCUGGGAAUGGCAUUUGGGACUGCAAGGCUAGAGUGCGGCAGAGGAGACUGGAAUUCCGUGGUGAGCAGUGAAAUGCGUAGAUAUCAGGAGGAAUACCGAUGGCGAAGGCAGGUCUCUGGGCUGACACUGACGCUCAUGCACGAAAGCGUGGGGAGCAAACAGGG